GCGUAGCCGACCUGAGAGGGUGAUCGGCCACACUGGGACUGAGACACGGCCCAGACUCCUACGGGAGGCAGCAGUAGGGAAUCUUCCGCAAUGGACGAAAGUCUGACGGAGCAACGCCGCGUGAGUGAUGAAGGUUUUCGGAUCGUAAAGCUCUGUUGUUAGGGAAGAACAAGUGCGAGAGUAACUGCUCGCACCUUGACGGUACCUAACCAGAAAGCCACGGCUAACUACGUGCCAGCAGCCGCGGUAAUACGUAGGUGGCAAGCGUUGUCCGGAAUUAUUGGGCGUAAAGGGCUCGCAGGCGGUUUCUUAAGUCUGAUGUGAAAGCCCCCGGCUCAACCGGGGAGGGUCAUUGGAAACUGGGAAACUUGAGUGCAAAAGAGGAGAGUGGAAUUCCACGUGUAGCGGUGAAAUGCGUAGAGAUGUGGAGGAACACCAGUGGCGAAGGCGACUCUCUGGUCUGUAACUGACGCUGAGGACGAAAGCGUGGGAGCGAACAGGAUUAGAUACCCUGGUAGUCCACGCCGUAAACGAUGAGUGCUAAGUGUUAGGGGGUUUCCGCCCCUUAGUGCUGCAGCUAACGCAUUAAGCACUCCGCCUGGGGAGUACGGUCGCAAGACUGAAACUCAAAGGAAUUGACGGGGGCCCGCACAAGCGGUGGAGCA
This 665-nucleotide ribosomal RNA is filed under the name uncultured bacterium. RNAcentral's name for it is "bacterial SSU rRNA". It matches the Rfam family "Bacterial small subunit ribosomal RNA", at positions 281 to 939 of the family's 1533-position model. The record is from RNAcentral.